GCUGGGUUGGACAAGUAGGUUAAGUCAUUACAUUUUCAAUGUAAUAAUCAGGAGUUCGAGUCUCCUACCCAGUA
RNAcentral lists this transfer RNA (74 nucleotides) under virus sp. ctPYc18. RNAcentral's name for it is "tRNA-Glu". It matches the Rfam family "tRNA". From Rfam's summary of the family: Transfer RNA (tRNA) molecules are approximately 80 nucleotides in length. The record is from RNAcentral.